UACUCCAGAGUACCACGAGACACGUGAAACCUUGUGGGAAGCUGGGAGGACCAUCUCCCAAGGCUAAAUACUACCUAGUGACCGAUAGUGAAGCAGUACCGUGAGGGAAAGGUGAAAAGAACCCCGGAAGGGGAGUGAAAUAGAAUCUGAAACCGUGUGCCUACAAUCGGUCGGAGCACAUUAAAGUGUGACGGCGUACUUUUUGUAGAACGGGCCAGCGAGUUACGAUAUAUAGCAAGGUUAAGCACUUAUGGUGUGGAGCCGAAGGGAAACCGAGUCUGAAUAGGGCAACUAGUUGUAUAUUGUAGACCCGAAACCGGGUGACCUAUCCAUGGCCAGGAUGAAGCGGAAGUAAAAUUCCGUGGAGGUCCGAACCACGUUGGUGUUGAAAAACCAUGGGAUGAGCUGUGGAUAGCGGAGAAAUUCCAAUCGAACUCGGAGAUAGCUGGUUCUCCUCGAAAUAGCUUUAGGGCUAGCGUCGGGUAAUUGAGUAGUGGAGGUAGAGCACUGAAUGGGCUAGGGGCUGACAACAGUUACUGAACCCUAUCAAACUCCGAAUGCCAUAUACUUGUACCCCGGCAGUCAGACUACGAAUGAUAAGAUCCGUGGUCAAAAGGGAAACAGCCCAGACCAUCAGCUAAGGUCCCAAAGUGUAAGUUAAGUGGGAAAGGAUGUGGGAUUUCUAAGACAACUAGGAUGUUGGCUUAGAAGCAGCCACUCAUUUAAAGAGUGCGUAAUAGCUCACUAGUCGAGAGAUCCUGCGCCGAAGAUGUAACGGGGCUCAAACUUACCACCGAAGCUAUGGAUGUGUACUUUGUACACGUGGUAGAGGAGCUUUCUGUACAGGUUGAAGUCAUACCGUAAGGAGUGGUGGACAGUACAGAAGUGAGAAUGCUGGCAUAAGUAGCGAAAAACAAGUGAGAAUCUUGUUGACCGAAUAUCUAAGGUUUCCUGGGGAAGGCUCGUCCUCCCAGGGUUAGUCGGGACCUAAGCCGAGGCCGAAAGGCGUAGGUGAUGGACAACUGGUUGAUAUUCCAGUACCACCAUAAUGCGUUUGACAAAUGGGAUGACGCAGGAGGAUAGGAUGUGCGCACUAUUGGAUGUGCGUCUAAGCACUUAGGGUGUUAAGUAGGCAAAUCCGCUUAACAUUAAGCCUGAGGUGUGAUGGGGAGCCUAUUUUGGCGAAGUAUCUGAUUCCACGCUGCCAAGAAAAGUCUCUAUGGAGCAAA
This 1229-nucleotide ribosomal RNA is filed under the name Clostridium botulinum C. RNAcentral describes it as "partial 23S ribosomal RNA". It matches the Rfam family "Bacterial large subunit ribosomal RNA", at positions 403 to 1634 of the family's 2925-position model. Lineage: Bacteria; Bacillati; Bacillota; Clostridia; Eubacteriales; Clostridiaceae. The record is from RNAcentral.